CCAUGUCUCUGAUCACCAUUUUCAUCCUGACAUGUGCUGCCUGUAUUCAAGAAUCCAGGGGACAGGUGACUGUAACUCAGAGUCCUGCAGUGAAAACUGUUUCCUCAGGUCAGACAGUCUCUGUUGGCUGUAAACUGGCCAAGGAUGGAUCAGUGUCUUCAUGCAGCACUCCCUGUGUGUCCUGGUACCUUCAGAAACCUGGAGAAGCUCCUAAACUCCUGAUAUAUUAUGCUACAACCCGUGAGUCUGGAGUUGCAAGUCGUUUUAGUGGCAGUGGAUCUGGGACUGACUUCACUCUGACCAUCAGUGGAGUCCAGGCUGAAGAUGCAGGAGCUUAUUACUGUCACAGUUACAACUGGAUUGGUAGCAACAACAUGUUCACACAGUGA
This is a non-coding RNA of Myripristis murdjan (pinecone soldierfish), 389 nucleotides long. NCBI's taxonomy places the organism in Eukaryota, Metazoa, Chordata, Actinopteri, Holocentriformes, Holocentridae. The record is from the annotation of a RefSeq genome assembly.